RNAcentral lists this transfer RNA (82 nucleotides) under Auricularia auricula-judae (jelly ear fungus). RNAcentral describes it as "tRNA-Leu". It matches the Rfam family "tRNA". Rfam says of the family: Transfer RNA (tRNA) molecules are approximately 80 nucleotides in length. Their secondary structure includes four short double-helical elements and three loops (D, anti-codon, and T loops). Lineage: Eukaryota; Fungi; Basidiomycota; Agaricomycetes; Auriculariales; Auriculariaceae. RNAcentral also lists the same sequence under 1 other name. The record is from RNAcentral.
GCAAAUGUGUCGGAAUUGGUAUACGAGCUGUACUUAGGAUACAGUGUCUCACGACUUAAGAGUUCGAGUCUCUUCAUUUGUA